Molecule: ribosomal RNA, 440 nt
Filed under: uncultured bacterium
Lineage: Bacteria
Description: partial 16S ribosomal RNA
Rfam family: Bacterial small subunit ribosomal RNA
Source: RNAcentral
CCUACGGGGUGCUGCAGUGGGGGAUAUUGCACAAUGGGGGGAACCCUGAUGCAGCGACGCCGCGUGGGUGAAGAAGGCCCUCGGCGCGUAAAGCCCUGUCUGCAGGGAGGAAAAUGACGGUACCUGAAGAAGAAGCCCCGGCUAACGACGUGCCAGCAGCCGCUGUAAUACGUAGGGGGAAAGCGUUCUCCGGCUGUACUGGAUGGAAAGGGGGAGCAGACGGCGGUGCAGGCCAGGUGUGAAAGCCCGGGGCGCAACCCCGUGACUGUACUUGGAAAUGCGUGUCUGGAGUGCAGGAGGGGCAGGUGGAAUUCCGGGUGUAGCGGUGAAAUGCGUAGAUAGCAGGCGGAACACCGGUGGCGAAGGCGGCCUGCUGGACUGCAACUGACGUUGAGGCCCGAAAGCGUGGGGAGCAAACAGGAUUAGAUACCCCUGUAGUC